UACAGAGGGUGCAAGCGUUAAUCGGAAUUACUGGGCGUAAAGCGCGCGUAGGCGGAUACUUAAGUCGACUGUGAAAGCCCUGGGCUCAACCUAGGAACUGCAGUCGAUACUGAAUAUCUAGAGUAUGGGAGAGGGAAGUGGAAUUUUCGGUGUAGCGGUGAAAUGCGUAGAUAUCGGAAGGAACACCAGUGGCGAAGGCGACUUCCUGGACCAAUACUGACGCUGAGGUGCGAAAGCGUGGGGAGCAAACAGG
Molecule: ribosomal RNA, 253 nt
Filed under: uncultured bacterium
Lineage: Bacteria
Description: partial 16S ribosomal RNA
Rfam family: Bacterial small subunit ribosomal RNA
Source: RNAcentral